RNAcentral lists this ribosomal RNA (254 nucleotides) under uncultured bacterium. Its description in RNAcentral is "partial 16S ribosomal RNA". It matches the Rfam family "Bacterial small subunit ribosomal RNA", at positions 524 to 776 of the family's 1533-position model. The record is from RNAcentral.
UACGAAGGGGGCUAGCGUUGCUCGGAAUCACUGGGCGUAAAGAGCUCGUAGGCGGUUUCGUAAGUCGGAUGUGAAAACUCCAGGCUCAACUUGGAGACGCCAUUCGAUACUGCGAUGACUUGAGUCCGGUAGGGGAGUGUGGAAUUCCUGGUGUAGCGGUGAAAUGCGCAGAUAUCAGGAGGAACACCGGCGGCGAAGGCGGCACUCUGGGCCGGUACUGACGCUGAGGAGCGAAAGCGUGGGUAGCAAACAGG